CCUACGGGCGGCAGCAGUGGUGAAUAUUGGGCAAUGGGCGCAAGCCUGACCCAGCAACGCCGCGUGAAGGAAGAAGGCUUUCGGGUUGUAAACUUCUUUUCUCAGGGACGAAGCAAGUGACGGUACCUGAGGAAUAAGCCACGGCUAACUACGUGCCAGCAGCCGCGGUAAUACGUAGGUGGCAAGCGUUAUCCGGAUUUAGUGGGUUUAAAGGGUGCGCAGGGGGCGUGUCAAGUCAGCGGUAAAAUGUAGGGGCUAAACCCCGGACGGCCGUUGAAACUGGCGUGCUCGAGUUGGAGAGAAGUAUGCGGAAUUCGUGGUGUAGCGGUGAAAUGCAUAGAUAGCACGAAGAACCCCGAUUGCGAAGGCAGCAUACCGGCUCCACACUGACGCUGAGGCACGAAAGCGUGGGUAUCGAACAGGAUUAGAUACCCGAGUAGUC
This 442-nucleotide ribosomal RNA is filed under the name uncultured bacterium. RNAcentral describes it as "partial 16S ribosomal RNA". It matches the Rfam family "Bacterial small subunit ribosomal RNA", at positions 338 to 795 of the family's 1533-position model. The record is from RNAcentral.